AAAUGGCCAAAAACGGGUGGGCUAUAGCCUUGGCGGGGGGCGUGGGCGAAGUUCGUCCGCCGGACUCGGAAUGGCACCAGACUUUGCGGGCGGCCUCCGUGUGCCAAAAAUAGGCCACGGGGACAGCCGCGGUCAAAAAUCAGCCCCCGAAGGUCGGGGCGCCGAGACCCCCCAGCGGAAAAAUGGCCAAAAAAUGGGUGGGCUAUGGUCUUCGUGGGGGGCGUGGGCGAAGUUCGUCCGCCGGACUCGGAAUGGCCCAAGACUUUGCGGGCGGACUCCGUGUGCCAAAAAUAGGCCACGGGCACAGCCGCGCCCAAAAAUCAGCCCCCGAAGGUCGGGGAGCCAAGACCCCCCAGCGGAAAAAUGACCAAAAAUCGGGUGGGCUAUAGCCUUGGUGGGGGGCGUGGGCGAAGUUCGUCCGCCGGACUCGGAAUGGCCCCAGACUUUACGGGCGGCCUCUGUGUGCCAAAAAUAGGCCACGGGCACAGCCGCGCCCAAAAAUCAGCCCCCUUUCCGUCGGGGCGCCAAGACCCCCCAGCGGAAAAAUGGCCAAAAAACGGGUGGGCUAUAGCCUUGGUGGGGGGCGUGGGCGAUGUUCGUCCGCCGGACUCGGAAUGGCCCCAGACUUUGCGGGCUGCCUCCGUGUACCAAAAAUAGACCACGGGCACAGCCGCACCCAAAAAUGACCGCCCGAAGGUCGGGGUAACAACACCCCCCACCGGAAAAUUGGCCAAAAAACGGGUGGGCUAUAGCCCAAGGUGGGGGGCGUGGGCGAAGUUCGUCCGCCGGACUCGGAAUGGCCCCAUACUUUUGCGGGGGGCCUCCGGGUGCC
Molecule: long non-coding RNA, 832 nt
Filed under: Citrus x clementina
Lineage: Eukaryota; Viridiplantae; Streptophyta; Magnoliopsida; Sapindales; Rutaceae
Description: Citrus clementina (C. clementina) long non-coding RNA (CCLE_LNC006142)
Source: RNAcentral